This 389-nucleotide ribosomal RNA is filed under the name uncultured bacterium. RNAcentral's name for it is "bacterial SSU rRNA". It matches the Rfam family "Bacterial small subunit ribosomal RNA", at positions 30 to 417 of the family's 1533-position model. The record is from RNAcentral.
AUUGAACGCUGGCGGCGUGCUUAACACAUGCAAGUCGUGCGGUAACAGGCGUAGCAAUACGUGCUGACGAGCGGCGAACGGGUGCGUAAUACAUGGGAAUCUGCCCUUUAGUGGGGAAUAACCCGGCGAAAGCCGGGCUAAUGCCGCAUAAGAUCUUCGGAUGAAAGCGGGGGAUCGUAAGACCUCGCGCUGAUGGAUGAGCCCAUGUCGGAUUAGCAGUUGGUGAGGUAACGGCUCACCAAGGCGACGAUCCGUAGCUGGUCUGAGAGGACGGCCAGCCACACUGGGACUGAGACACGGCCCAAACUCCGUACGGGAGGCAGCAGUGGGGAAUAUUGGACAAGUGGGGAAACCCUGAUCCAGCGACGCCGCGUGUGUGAAGAAGGCCU